GAGAGCCAGAGUCAGAUAGUGGUACGAGCGACUCUUCUAAGGGUAUUUUUGGCCCCUGUGCAAGCAAAUCCUCAACUUCCAAGCUCCCCUGAGAACUCUAUGCUGUACCCCAGCUCAUCCAACCAAAUGCUUGGUCACAGCAGCUCCAGAAACUCUCUGCACACCAUGCCUACUGAGAAGAGUUUCCUAUCCAAGGGGCCCAUAGACAUCUCAGGCCAUUAAAAAUCUGCAGUUUGAGAACAGGGUGUGUCCCCAGGGUUAAAGGUCACAUACUCAGAGCGAGGAUUGGUCAUGUAGCUGAUAAGUGUGUCCUUUGUCUCCUGGUUCCCUAUGCUCCUCUAUACAGUGCAGCUAGCAUGCUGGAUGACAGCAGGCUACAUACACUGCUAGCGUGGUGGGCUCAGAGGCGGUGUGGAGGACACUCAGCGCAUGUGGAUGGGAGUGGUUGGGCAUGGCGCUGCCCUCACCUGCUCUGGCUGCUUGGGUUCCUGGCAUGCUGAUUUGUGACUUGAGAUUAAAAUCACAUUGCCAGGGAUUACCACGCAACCAUGACCUUGGCUGCUCCUGCAGAACCGUGGCUACUUUCUCUCUGCAGUUUGGAGAACAGAGGCACCUUGUGGCUCUUUGGGAAAAAAAAAAAAAAAAAAGAAGCCACCAGCCUUCGAAGAUGCUCACCAGCCCUUUAAUUAUGGCCGGCGAUGACCUCUCUAACAAGGUGCAGAGCUUAGCUGAUUGGUGAACAGUGAUUGGUUUCCGCUUUGUUCACAGUGGCUAAGUUCUGCACCUGAAGAGAAGGUGAGAUGGGGACAGUUAACUUGCAGCUGCCAGGCAGAGGCCACUGCCUGGUGGUCACUCCAGAGGAGGAGAGACCAGCCUGCCUCAAGGCUGUGUUGUCAAGAGUGCAAGCAGCGUGCUGACCACCCUUAAAUGUGCCUACAGAAAAUACAGAUCUACUGCUAAUUAGUCCACUGUAAUAUCAAGUGUAUUGGAGUCACAGAAAACUAAAACCAGAUGCAUCACAAAAGCUGAGCGGAGUCUCAGCUGAUGCCACACGUGAGGGUGGGGUUGGGGGUGGUUCUUUUGUCCCUGCUGGGCGUGGUGAACUCUUUCUUGUAUUUGCAGUCCAGGU
This 1129-nucleotide long non-coding RNA is filed under the name Rattus norvegicus (Norway rat). Its description in RNAcentral is "long non-coding RNA NONRATT012180". The stretch from base 711 to 789 matches the Rfam family "mir-27 microRNA precursor family". The record is from RNAcentral. Lineage: Eukaryota; Metazoa; Chordata; Mammalia; Rodentia; Muridae.